AAAAAGAACCUGAAACCGUGUACGUACAAGCAGUGGGAGCACCUUCGGGUGUGACUGCGUACCUUUUGUAUAAUGGGUCAGCGACUUAUAUUCUGUAGCAAGGUUAACCGUAUAGGGGAGCCGCAGGGAAACCGAGUCUUAACUGGGCGUUAAGUUGCAGGGUAUAGACCCGAAACCCGGUGAUCUAGCCAUGGGCAGGUUGAAGGUUGGGUAACACUAACUGGAGGACCGAACCGACUAAUGUUGAAAAAUUAGCGGAUGACUUGUGGCUGGGGGUGAAAGGCCAAUCAAACCGGGAGAUAGCUGGUUCUCCCCGAAAGCUAUUUAGGUAGCGCCUCGUGAACUCAUCUUCGGGGGUAGAGCACUGUUUCGGCUAGGGGGUCAUCCCGACUUACCAACCCGAUGCAAACUACGAAUACCGAAGAAUGUUAUCACGGGAGACACACGGCGGGUGCUAACGUCCGUCGUGAAGAGGGAAACAACCCAGACCGCCAGCUAAGGUCCCAAAGUCAUGGUUAAGUGGGAAACGAUGUGGGAAGGCACAGACAGCCAGGAUGUUGGCUUAGAAGCAGCCAUCAUUUAAAGAAAGCGUAAUAGCUCACUGGUCGAGUCGGCCUGCGCGGAAGAUGUAACGGGGCUAAACCAUGCACCGAAGCUGCGGCAGCGACACUAUGUGUUGUUGGGUAGGGGAGCGUUCUGUAAGCCUGCGAAGGUG
Molecule: ribosomal RNA, 715 nt
Filed under: Klebsiella pneumoniae
Lineage: Bacteria; Pseudomonadati; Pseudomonadota; Gammaproteobacteria; Enterobacterales; Enterobacteriaceae
Description: bacterial LSU rRNA
Rfam family: Bacterial large subunit ribosomal RNA
Source: RNAcentral